Molecule: ribosomal RNA, 449 nt
Filed under: uncultured bacterium
Lineage: Bacteria
Description: partial 16S ribosomal RNA
Rfam family: Bacterial small subunit ribosomal RNA
Source: RNAcentral
AACGAACGCUGGCGGCAGGCCUAACACAUGCAAGUCGAACGGGACCUUCGGGUCUAGUGGCGGACGGGUGAGUAACGCGUGGGAACGUGCCCUUUGGUUCGGAAUAGCCCCGGGAAACUGGGAGUAAUACCGGAUAAGCCCUACGGGGGAAAGAUUUAUCGCCAAAGGAUCGGCCCGCGUUGGAUUAGGUAGUUGGUGAGGUAAUGGCUCACCAAGGCGACGAUCCAUAGCUGGUUUGAGAGGAUGAUCAGCCACACUGGGACUGAGGCACGGCCCAGACUCCUACGGGAGGCAGCAGUGGGGAAUCUUAGACAAUGGGGGAAACCCUGAUCUAGCCAUGCCGCGUGAUCGAUGAAGGCCUUAGGGUUGUAAAGAUCUUUCAGUGGGGAAGAUAAUGACUGUACCCACAGAAGAAGCCCCGGCUAACUCCGUGCCAGCCGCCGCAGUAA